This 68-nucleotide transfer RNA is filed under the name Coleoptera sp. ACP-2013. RNAcentral's name for it is "tRNA-Ser". The record is from RNAcentral. Lineage: Eukaryota; Metazoa; Arthropoda; Insecta; Coleoptera.
UAGUUAAUGAACUUGAAUAAGUAUAUGUUUUGAAAGCAUAAAAUAAAGACAAAACCUCUUUAUUAACU